UACGUAGGGGGCAAGCGUUGUCCGGAUUUAUUGGGCGUAAAGAGCGUGUAGGCGGCCAGACAGGUCCGUUGUGAAAACUCGAGGCUCAACCUCGAGAUGUCGAUGGAAACCGUCUGGCUAGAGUCCGGAAGAGGAGUGUGGAAUUCCUGGUGUAGCGGUGAAAUGCGCAGAUAUCAGGAGGAACACCGGUGGCGAAGGCGGGUCUCUGGGCCGAUACUGACGCUGAGGAGCGAAAGCGUGGGGAGCGAACAGG
RNAcentral lists this ribosomal RNA (253 nucleotides) under uncultured bacterium. Its description in RNAcentral is "partial 16S ribosomal RNA". It matches the Rfam family "Bacterial small subunit ribosomal RNA", at positions 524 to 776 of the family's 1533-position model. The record is from RNAcentral.